Molecule: ribosomal RNA, 810 nt
Filed under: Fusarium falciforme
Lineage: Eukaryota; Fungi; Ascomycota; Sordariomycetes; Hypocreales; Nectriaceae
Description: partial large subunit ribosomal RNA
Rfam family: Eukaryotic large subunit ribosomal RNA
Source: RNAcentral
UUGCCCCAGUAACGGCGAGUGAAGCGGCAACAGCUCAAAUUUGAAAUCUGGCUCUCGGGCCCGAGUUGUAAUUUGUAGAGGAUGCUUUUGGUGAGGUGCCUUCCGAGUUCCCUGGAACGGGACGCCAUAGAGGGUGAGAGCCCCGUCUGGUUGGACACCGAUCCUCUGUAAAGCUCCUUCGACGAGUCGAGUAGUUUGGGAAUGCUGCUCUAAAUGGGAGGUAUAUGUCUUCUAAAGCUAAAUACCGGCCAGAGACCGAUAGCGCACAAGUAGAGUGAUCGAAAGAUGAAAAGAACUUUGAAAAGAGAGUUAAAAAGUACGUGAAAUUGUUGAAAGGGAAGCGCUUGUGACCAGACUUGGGCUUGGUUGAUCAUCCGGGGUUCUCCCCGGUGCACUCUUCCGGCUCAGGCCAGCAUCAGUUCGCCCUGGGGGAUAAAGGCUUCGGGAAUGUGGCUCUCUCCGGGGAGUGUUAUAGCCCGCUGCGUAAUACCCUGUGGCGGACUGAGGUUCGCGCAUUCGCAAGGAUGCUGGCGUAAUGGUCAUCAGUGACCCGUCUUGAAACACGGACCAAGGAGUCGUCUUCGUAUGCGAGUGUUCGGGUGUCAAACCCCUACGCGAAAUGAAAGUGAACGCAGGUGAGAGCUUCGGCGCAUCAUCGACCGAUCCUGAUGUUAUCGGAUGGAUUUGAGUAAGAGCAUACGGGGCCGGACCCGAAAGAAGGUGAACUAUGCCUGUGUAGGGUGAAGCCAGAGGAAACUCUGGUGGAGGCUCGCAGCGGUUCUGACGUGCAAAUCGAUCGUCAAACAUGGG